CCUACGGGAGGCAGCAGUGGGGAAUAUUGCGCAAUGGGCGAAAGCCUGACGCAGCGACGCCGCGUGAGGGAUGAAGGUCUUCGGAUCGUAAAGCUCUGUCAGCAGGGAAGAACGGUUACUGUGCUAAUCAGCAGUGAAUUGACGGUAUCUGCAAAGGCAGCAACGGCGAAAUCCGUGCCAGCAGCGUCGGUAAUACGGAGGGUGCGAGCGUUAAUCGGAGUUACUGGGGGUAAAGCGCUCGUAGACGGUAUGUCAAGUCCAAGGUGAAAUCGCCGCGCUCAACGCGGGAACUGCCUUGGAAACUGGCAAACUGGAGUGUGUGAGAGGAUAGUGGAAUU
This 338-nucleotide ribosomal RNA is filed under the name uncultured bacterium. Its description in RNAcentral is "partial 16S ribosomal RNA". It matches the Rfam family "Bacterial small subunit ribosomal RNA", at positions 338 to 668 of the family's 1533-position model. The record is from RNAcentral.